GACGAACCAUGCAAACGUUAUUCGGAUUCACUGGGCUUAAAGCGUGCGUAGGCGGCGAUGUUGGUCAGGUGUGAAAGCCCUCAGCCCAACUGAGGAAUUGCGCUUGAUACUGCAUUGCUAGAGAAUGAUAGAGGUGGGUGGAACUGAUGGUGGAGCGGUGAAGUGCGUUGAUAUCAUCAGGAACACCAGUGGCGAAGGCGACCCACUGGGUCAUUUCUGACGCUGAGGUACGAAAGCUAGGGUAGCGAACGGG
RNAcentral lists this ribosomal RNA (253 nucleotides) under uncultured bacterium. RNAcentral describes it as "partial 16S ribosomal RNA". It matches the Rfam family "Bacterial small subunit ribosomal RNA", at positions 524 to 776 of the family's 1533-position model. The record is from RNAcentral.